Molecule: ribosomal RNA, 1342 nt
Filed under: uncultured bacterium
Lineage: Bacteria
Description: 16S ribosomal RNA
Rfam family: Bacterial small subunit ribosomal RNA
Source: RNAcentral
GACGAACGCUGUCGGCGUGCUUAACACAUGCAAGUCGAACGGAAAGGCCCUGCUUUUGUGGGGUGCUCGAGUGGCGAACGGGUGAGUAACACGUGAGUAACCUGCCCUUGACUUUGGGAUAACUUCAGGAAACUGGGGCUAAUACCGGAUAGGAGCUCCUGCUGCAUGGUGGGGGUUGGAAAGUUUCGGCGGUUGGGGAUGGACUCGCGGCUUAUCAGCUUGUUGGUGGGGUAGUGGCUUACCAAGGCUUUGACGGGUAGCCGGCCUGAGAGGGUGACCGGCCACAUUGGGACUGAGAUACGGCCCAGACUCCUACGGGAGGCAGCAGUGGGGAAUAUUGCACAAUGGGCGGAAGCCUGAUGCAGCAACGCCGCGUGCGGGAUGACGGCCUUCGGGUUGUAAACCGCUUUCGCCUGUGACGAAGCGUGAGUGACGGUAAUGGGUAAAGAAGCACCGGCUAACUACGUGCCAGCAGCCGCGGUGAUACGUAGGGUGCGAGCGUUGUCCGGAUUUAUUGGGCGUAAAGGGCUCGUAGGUGGUUGAUCGCGUCGGAAGUGUAAUCUUGCUGCUUAACCCUGAGCGUGCUUUCGAUACGGGGUGACUUGAGGAAGGUAGGGGAGAAUGGAAUUCUGGUGGAGCGGUGGAAUGCGCAGAUAUCAGGAGGAACACCAGUGGCGAAGGCGGUUCUCUGGGCCUUUCCUGACGCUGAGGAGCGAAAGCGUGGGGAGCGAACAGGCUUAGAUACCCUGGUAGUCCACGCUGUAAACGGUGGGUACUAGGUGUGGGGUCCAUUCCACGGGUUCCGUGCCGUAGCUAACGCUUUAAGUACCCCGCCUGGGGAGUACGGCCGCAAGGCUAAAACUCAAAGGAAUUGACGGGGCCCCGCACAAGCGGCGGAGCAUGCGGAUUAAUUCGAUGCAACGCGUAGAACCUUACCUGGGUUUGACAUGGAUCGGGAGUGCUCAGAGAUGGGUGUGCCUCUUUUGGGGUCGGUUCACAGGUGGUGCAUGGCUGUCGUCAGCUCGUGUCGUGAGAUGUUGGGUUAAGUCCCGCAACGAGCGCAACCCUUGUUCACUGUUGCCAGCACGUUAUGGUGGGGACUCAGUGGAGACCGCCGGGGUCAACUCGGAGGAAGGUGGGGAUGACGUCAAGUCAUCAUGCCCCUUAUGUCCAGGGCUUCACGCAUGCUACAAUGGCUGGUACAGAGAGUGGCGAGCCUGUGAGGGUGAGCGAAUCUCGGAAAGCCGGUCUCAGUUCGGAUUGGGGUCUGCAACUCGACCUCAUGAAGUCGGAGUCGCUAGUAAUCGCAGAUCAGCAACGCUGCGGUGAAUACGUUCCCGGG